This is a long non-coding RNA of Homo sapiens (human), 439 nucleotides long. RefSeq lists it as uncharacterized. The record is from RefSeq and is a predicted model, not a curated record. Lineage: Eukaryota; Metazoa; Chordata; Mammalia; Primates; Hominidae. The transcript is spliced from 2 exons.
AUGCAUGCGUAUGUUCAUUGUAGCACUAUUCUCCUUCAUUCUAUCAUAAAGAUACAUGCAUGCGUAUGUAUGUUUGUGGAGGAACUACACAGUCCUGGACUGCUUACUUUGGGAUUUUGUUUAUGUAAGACAGAAUGAACUUCUAGCUUGUUUAAACUGUUGUCACUUUGAGUUUUCUUUUACUUGGCAGCUUAACCUAAUCCUGAUUGAUAGAGAGCUAUCGGGAAGGACAACCACUGGGCUUCUGAGAUGACCGGCUGGAAGCCUGAACCCGCCGGAUGGUCAUCUUGCCACCGCAUGGGAAGGAAGGUUGCCUGAAUAAAGCUGACAUAGAAGGAGGCAAGCUUCCUGAGGCCUCAACCAGGAGCAGAUGCCAGCACCAUGCUUCUUGCACAACCUGCAGAACCAGAAACCAAAAUAAACUUUUCUUUAUAAAUUA